UACGGAGGGGACUAGCGUUGUUCGGAAUUACUGGGCGUAAAGCGCACGUAGGCGGAUUUGUAAGUCAGGGGUGAAAUCCCGGGGCUCAACCUCGGAACUGCCUUUGAUACUGCAAAUCUCGAGUCCGGAAGAGGCGAGUGGAAUUCCUGGUGUAGCGGUGAAAUGCGCAGAUAUCAGGAAGAACACCAAUGGCGAAGGCAGCUCUCUGGGACGGUACUGACGCUGAGACGCGAAAGCGUGGGGAGCGAACAGG
Molecule: ribosomal RNA, 253 nt
Filed under: uncultured bacterium
Lineage: Bacteria
Description: partial 16S ribosomal RNA
Rfam family: Bacterial small subunit ribosomal RNA
Source: RNAcentral